This 2310-nucleotide long non-coding RNA is filed under the name Vulpes vulpes (red fox). Its description in RNAcentral is "lncRNA (ENSVVUG00000019362.1)". Lineage: Eukaryota; Metazoa; Chordata; Mammalia; Carnivora; Canidae. The record is from RNAcentral.
GCUUGUCCGGAGAAGGAAGUGUAGAACGUGAUAAGCGUACAACAGCGUACUCAUUAUGACGAUUACCAGGCAACAACGAUGCAUGAAACAAGGACUUUACACUGGAGAGAGAGUCUUCUCUGUCCAAUUGGCAUCACAGCUUCGUGUCCCCAAAGUGCUUCCAGGAGACUGGGGUGACUGACAUUCAGAGAUGGAGCAGCCAUGAGAAAGAUGAAACUUUUCUGGAUCUUCCCCACUCUGAGUGACUUUCUUUACCGGCCAGCCUCCGCUCCGGUCAUAUUAACGCAGGCAAAGCGCUCACACCGGGGGAGGGGAGAGGACUAACAGGGAUUGAGGGCCACCGGGCACGUUAUUACUUAACCUUGCAAAUGACCCUCAAGCCGGCUGUCAUGAUCACCGGUCAACCAGCACUCAGGGAGGCGAGAUCACUUCUAAAUGCGACCGAGGACCCUCGGGUGGGUCCGGUGUUCCUGGGCAAUGUGUUUCACUACCGUCUUCCUUGGUUAGCACCGAUCCUGAGUUCGCCCUCUGGAAAGGAGGUUUCACUCAACAACUCCUCAUUCACUUACAAUGAACACGUUGCCCACGCUCUUGCCUGGUGCUGUGUUCGGCUCUGGAGGAUGCAGCUGCAGGUCAUGCUGUGUUUCCCCUCAGAGGACGGUGGGGAGCAAGGCAAAAUCAAAUACCCCGCUGCCUCCAAGUGCUUAGUGAAGGAAAAGAAAUCAUCUUGCCUAAAGACAGACAGAGGCUGUACAUUUUGCCACCUGGUUCCCGGCUCCUUCAAACGCAGAGGACAUCACUUCAUUCACCAUGACUUUGCCCAAUCUGGAACCUCAAUGGCACCUUCUUCACCGAUUAGGAUUUUCUCCUUGUGUUGGCUUUCAGGGGCACUCUGUGCGCACCUUGUUCCGUUCUCUGCUCAAGGCAAGGGGGGCACCAGGUUCCUUCUUUGCCUUGUGCUUCCAUGAUGGUUGACAUAUCCCUCCCCGCUCCCCACUAGUCAGAGCCACAGGAUCCCCUCCCAUUAAGGUGGGUGUGGAAGAUCCAGAUGUUGACUACUUCUCCGCCCGCUUUCCCCAGGCUGGCUCCAUCUUCGCAUUAGGAGCCAGAUGGCUGCAUAAGCUUUAAGUGUCACAUUCCAACAAGACACCGUUCAGAGGAAGAAGAAAGAUUAGAAAAGGAAAGAAGGAAGCUUUCCCAGAAGACGCCCACAGAUCCCUUCAUUUCUCUGUGGCCGGAAUAGGGUGCUUCGCUCAUCCCUGCACCGAUCGCUGGUAAGAGGAGGAGGCCGUGACCAGGAUGGCCUAGGCCGGCUCUGCUCAGUGCCAGCCUCUCUCUAGAAACUCAGGUGCUCCAGCUCCAGCUGGGACUGCUGGGAUCAGAACCUCCAGGAAGGAGCCAGAUCCAUGUGGCUAUUAGCUAACUGGUGACUCGGGGGCUAACUGGAGCAAACCUUCUGGUGCUGCCCUCCCGAGCUGAAAGGUCCACUGGGGGAUGAGCCACGGGGACUGAUGCCGCUACCAGCCCUACCAGCCUUCCACGCCAGCCGUAGUGACAGCAGUGAUGCUGCUCCUACUUCCGCCCAAGCCAACUUUGGCCAACUUUGUUCCCACUCAAACACUCAGCCAGUGUCUGAACUUCACUGCUUCUUGAACCUUUCGAAGUUCAUGUUUUGGCAUCAGGCCUUAAUAUUUCACGUUUCACAGACAUUGCUGCUUUUCAUUCAACACGUUUUUACCAAGGCCCGGUAAGGGUUCUGGGUUCACGAUCGUGAACAAGGUACACGGGGAGGCCGGGCGAGGGAGCUUUGCAACAUUCUGGAGGUGAAGAUGCAUUUCAUCGUUUUACAGAUGAGAAAAGCAAACAUCUGAGAAUUAAGUGACUUGCUGGUGGCUACGGGGCCAGAAGGGCAGAGCUGGGGCUGCAGUGGCCGUGCUUCUGCUUCAGUGCUGUUUACCACUCACCCACUCCCUUUCUCGGAGCUUCCCUAAAAUCCUCCAAAGAUCUCCUUCCUUCCUCCGGACUCCCAGGGGCUGGACUGAAAGGGAGCUGGGAGGAAAAGGAAAUGAGGGAGAUGACAUUUUUAGAGGCAAGACAGUUUUCAAAAAAAGAGGUGGUUUUUCUCCCCCUUCCAUUUGCAGGUGAAGUAAAGCAGGUAAGAGGUUAUGUGGGGAAAUGGGGGAAAUGAUUAAGAACCAGGUAAGAUUACCUUCCUGACUUUUUUCCAUUCUCCAGAUGUCUGUGUGCCAGGGGGGAAAAAUCUGUUAAAAAACCAACAAUAACAAAUAAAGCAAAAAUCUUCCAGCUUCA